This is a long non-coding RNA of Gadus morhua (Atlantic cod), 614 nucleotides long. RefSeq lists it as uncharacterized. The transcript is spliced from 4 exons. The record is from RefSeq and is a predicted model, not a curated record. NCBI's taxonomy places the organism in Eukaryota, Metazoa, Chordata, Actinopteri, Gadiformes, Gadidae.
CUGACCUCAGCUAAUCACUGACCAACUGAGACCAACUGAAGCGAAGCCGAUAUGGAACGUAAACUGUGAUUCUGAAAAAAGUAUAAAGGCCUGCAGCAGGCGACCAACGCAGGAACCCAGAACGAGAAAACAUCUUCAUCAGUAUUUGGCUGUGGUCUAUGGAGUUUGAAGCGUUCCUUCUCAGCCCUAGACCGGCCACCUCUUCCACCAACACCGGGUUGGAGCCGCGGUCUGCGCUGCCUCGUGAGAGGAACGGUCCUCUGGUGGACGGCGGCCGCGGCACCAGGAAGCAAUAGAGAUGUCUUUCGCCAAGAUAAGGAUUACGCCGUCGCAGCAGUCGCUCCUGCGGGCCUCCGAUGCAGCGGCAGCCUUCACCGCCGCCAUGGGGCCACGCGGGCCCCAGGCUCCCGCCAGCGCCAGGAGGCCGGAGGAGGUGGAGAAGGAGGCCCGAGUUGUUUGCUGUAUAUAUUUAUCAUUUUGCAGAGCUAGUUUAUAUAGUUUUUUUUUUGUUGUUCAGUGCAUACACACAGCCAAUUUAUUUCUUUUAUUUUCUUUAAUUUAUUUUCUUAUUGCAUUUGACUGAAUAAAAUAAAAUAUAUUCUCCUUCUAGGCAA